GAGGAAGUAAAAGUCGUAACAAGGUCUCCGUAGGUGAACCUGCGGAGGGAUCAUUACAAGUGACCCCGGUUUACCACCGGGAUGUUCAUAACCCUUUGUUGUCCGACUCUGUUGCCUCCGGGGCGACCCUGCCUUCGGGCGGGGGCUCCGGGUGGACACUUCAAACUCUUGCGUAACUUUGCAGUCUGAGUAAACUUAAUUAAUAAAUUAAAACUUUUAACAACGGAUCUCUUGGUUCUGGCAUCGAUGAAGAACGCAGCGAAAUGCGAUAAGUAAUGUGAAUUGCAGAAUUCAGUGAAUCAUCGAAUCUUUGAACGCACAUUGCGCCCCCUGGUAUUCCGGGGGGCAUGCCUGUUCGAGCGUCAUUUCACCACUCAAGCCUCGCUUGGUAUUGGGCAACGCGGUCCGCCGCGUGCCUCAAAUCGACCGGCUGGGUCUUCUGUCCCCUAAGCGUUGUGGAAACUAUUCGCUAAAGGGUGCUCGGGAGGCUACGCCGUAAAACAACCCCAUUUCUAAGGUUGACCUCGGAUCAGGUAGGGAUACCCGCUGAACUUAAGCAUAUCAAUAAG
Molecule: ribosomal RNA, 569 nt
Filed under: uncultured fungus
Lineage: Eukaryota; Fungi
Description: eukaryotic LSU rRNA
Rfam family: 5.8S ribosomal RNA (bases 212-365)
Source: RNAcentral